This 518-nucleotide unclassified non-coding RNA is filed under the name uncultured Glomeromycotina. RNAcentral's name for it is "SSU rRNA". It matches the Rfam family "Eukaryotic small subunit ribosomal RNA", at positions 572 to 1092 of the family's 1831-position model. Lineage: Eukaryota; Fungi; Glomeromycota. The record is from RNAcentral.
AGCCGCGGUAAUUCCAGCUCCAAUAGCGUAUAUUAAAGUUGUUGCAGUUAAAAAGCUCGUAGUUGAAUUUCGGGAUCAAGGGAUCGGUCAUGCCUUGGUAUGUACUGGUCUUAUUGGUUCUCACCUUCUAAAGAACCAUGAUGUCAUUCAUUUGAUGUUAUGGGGAAUUAGGACUGUUACCUUGAAAAAAUUAGAGUGUUUAAAGCAAGCUUACGCUUGAAUACAUUAGCAUGGAAUAAUGAAAUAGGACAUCAGAUUCUAUUUUGUUGGUUUCUAGGAUCGAUGUAAUGAUUAAUAGGGAUAGUUGGGGGGAUUAGUAUUCAAUUGUCAGAGGUGAAAUUCUUGGAUUUAUUGAAGACUAACUACUGCGAAAGCAUUUGCCAAGGAUGUUUUCAUUAAUCAAGAACGAAAGUUAGGGGAUCGAAGACGAUCAGAUACCGUCGUAGUCUUAACCAUAAACUAUGCCGACUAGGGAUCGGAUGAUGUUAAUUUUUUAAUGACUCAUUCGGCACCUUACG